This is a non-coding RNA of Microcebus murinus (gray mouse lemur), 5325 nucleotides long. Lineage: Eukaryota; Metazoa; Chordata; Mammalia; Primates; Cheirogaleidae. The record is from RefSeq and is a predicted model, not a curated record.
GGCUUGAACAUUCCUUCCAUCUUGGCCUCCCAAAGUGCUAGGAUUAUAGGCAUGAGCCACCACACCCAGCCUUGAAAAGUGUUUUUGGUAAUCAAAAGCAACUUUGAGUCUUUUAUAUAUUGGGAUUCCAUGUAAGAUUUCAUUAGAAAAGUGUUGCGGUUUUAUUUUCUUUAAAAGUUUAAAAACCACUGAUAUAGCUGAUGAGGUUCCACUGCUGGGAUUUAUGCUGGACUCAUUGGGGGGGGGGGUGGCGCUGUCACAUAAUUUAGUUUGCAUUUCUUAAUAAAAGCACUCUGGCUGGUGGGGAAAGGAAGAAUGAAAGGUGGGCAGUGCAAGAGAGCCCAGGGAGGAGGCUGUUUGUAGUCACUGAGGGAAGAGAAAUCUCAUACUGUCUACUUACCUUAGCCUCAUCCAAGCUACAGUCAUCUCAUGGAAACUGAGUAGCUUCUUAACUAAUUUCUGUACUUUACUCCAAAUCGCUGGAACCUGUCCCUUGCCUACUCACAACCUUUCAGUGGCUUCCCAUGGCUUUUAGGAUUGGGUCCAAAAUGCUUGCAUGGUUGUCCAGGUCCGAGGGGUCUGCUUGUACUCACCACCCAACCCCCUCCUCCUUCUCCAGCCUCCAUCCUUCUUUUUGACUUCAAGCAUGUCUGGGCCACUUUCCAACCCAGGCCUUUGCACAAGCUAGUACCUUCACCUGGAGUCUCUUGUACCUGCUUUCUGUCUGUCCAACUACCUCCCAUUCUCAGAUCAGUGUUGCUUUUCUAAAGAGGCUUUCCUUGACCACCCAACAAUCCACAGUGGGGUUCUUCCAUUUUCUUUCUCAUAACAUCCUGUGCUUUUCCUCUGUAGCUCUAAGUAUCACCUGUAAUCAUCUAUUUAUUUGUUUUAUAUCUGUCUGCCCCAUUCACCACUGAAUCCAGGAUCCAUCGAUGAGUAGCUGCUCAAUAAAAAUUUAUUGAGUGAGUUCCUUGAUAAGUUAAACCUGGAAUUGUCACGUGACCCAGCAAUUCCUCAUCUAGGUAUGUACCCAAAAGAAUGUAAAACAGAUACUCAAAAACUCAUACAGGAACGUUCAUGGCAGCACCAUGUGCAAUAGCCAAAAGGUGGAGAGAACCCAAUGUCCUUCAGCUGAUAAAUGGAUAAACAAGAUGUGGUUAGCAAUGGGAUAUUAUUCAUGAGUAAAAAGGAACAAAGUACUGAUAACGUGGUACAACAUGGGUGAAUCUUGGAAAUACUAUGCUAGACAUAACAACACCAGGCACAGAGGCUGCAUGAUUCCUUUAUAUGAAGAGUCCAGAAUAGGCAAGUCUGCAGAGACAGUGGAUUAGUGGUUGCCAGGGACAGAGGGGAGAGACUACUCUAUAAUGGAUACAGAGCUUCCUCUUGGGAUGACAAAAAAUUUCUGGAAAUAGAUAGUGGCUAUGAUUGGACAAUAUUGUGACUGUUCUUAUUAUCACUAAUGGUAAAAUUUUAUGUUGUACAUAUUUUGCCACCAUUUCUAAAAAUCCAAAAGAAAAAUUUAUUGAGGGGAUUCAUAAAUGAAUUCUUCCAGCUCUGCGUGAGCCCAUUGUGUGCAUUGUGCUCCAUGGGCCAUGUCAGGCAGCCACUUGAAAUUCAACUUGGGACUUUUCACACAAUUCUGCAAUUCUAUUAUGAUCGCAGCUUCCAAACCCACCUGGGUCCCCUACCUCAAACGCUGGGUGAUUGGGAUGAAGCUCUCCCCACCCCGACCCACCACACCCCUGCCGCAGCAUACCUGAUGUCCAGGUCCGGGUUACAGUAGUGGCAGUAGCACUUGGGAGAUAGACAAGGAAGCAAACCGGGAAAAGAGAAAACAGCAGAGAAACAGCACCAUCCCCAGAGCUGGGGUUUCUGAAACCCAGCACCUCUGGCAUUUCAACCAGCACCAUUCUUUGUUAUGCUGAGCUGUCCUGGGCAAUGCAGGAUGUUGAGCAGCAUCCCUGGACUUGACCCCCUGGGUGCCAGCGUCACUUCCUCUUGGUGUGACAGCCACACAAGGCUUCGGACCCUACUGAGGGUCCCUGGGGUGGCAAAGUCACCCAUGUUUGAGAAUCACCAGUCUACCAAGGGCUCAAGUCAGAGUCUGGGGCCCAUCUCCUAGGUUUGUCCAUUUCCUCUGUCCCUCACACCCAAUUCAUCAGUAGUUCUGCUGUAGAACCACUCACCGCACAACUGUCAUCCGUACCAGCCACCCAGUCCCCACCAUGUGGACACCCCUCCUAAUCUGCUUCCACCCACUCCCCACACGCAGCACCCAGAGUUACCCUUUCGCAACUCAAAUUGGAGGUCGCUGAGGCUUUCUGUCAAACUUGGAAUAAAAGCAUCCUUGCUGUGGUCUACAAGAACCCCACGUGACUGGACUCUCAGAUCACACUGAUUCUCCUGGGGUCCCCCAGGGUGCAAGCUGUUCCUACCUUAGGGCCUAUGGUGCACGUUUGCUUUGCUUCUGGCAGCUGUUGUCCCCAGGCAUUCCCACAGCAGGACCCUCCUCCUCCUCUCUCCAUCCAAACAUGCCUGCCCAGGGAAAGCCGCCCGGCUGCGUGCUCUGUGAUGUCACCCUGAGUUCAUUUAGUGGAGCUUGCUGCUCGUGUCCUCCUGGUCCCCCUGUACUUACUGUGUGUGCCCUGUGAGCUCAGGGGCCCUGUGGUUUUGUCCUCUGCAUCCCCAGCAUCUGGCACAGGGCCGCUACCCCACAGGAAUGGUUGAGGAGUGAGUGAGUGCAUGGAUGAGUGGAUGGCAACUUGCCAGGUCCAACACUGUGCCCUGCUGUCUUCUCCAACGCUUUGCACGUCGUGUUCCCGCCUCCUGGAAGGCUUUCCCCUUGCCCCCUUCAACUGGCCAAUCCCAUUCAUCCUUAAGACAUAGGGGAGCUGUCUCCUUCAGGAAGCCCACCCUUCCCUUGAGAGCCCACCUCCCGCUAGCACGCCGCCAGAGGGGCCUAUGAAACGCCACCCUCGCCUGGCAGCCCGGCUCGCUCUCCUGCCUGUCUCCCUAACAGGACUAGGACCUGCUUGAAGCCAGCUCGGCCAUCGUAGUCCCCAGCAAUCAGUAGAAGACUUGGUCCUUACGAACCUCCCUUAUGGCGGGUGGGGGGUGCACAGACACUGAGAACAGAUGAGUGGAAUCCUUUAUGGGAAACUUGGGCUCUUGGUACGGAAGGGAGGGGUUUUCUCCCAGCCUGGGGGUGGGGGAGAGGAGAGAGGUUGUUGACAGAAGGGGUCUCCUCUCCUGCCUUUUGUACUUGGCACUUCCUAGGCCCCCUCCUUGCCUCUGUCUCCUCCUCCCCCUGCCCUUCUAAUCCCCCCUCUCACCCCCUCCCUCUGCAGCACACGGGGUCCCUGGCGCUGGCCCCUUCUUACCCAGUCCCCCUUGUUGUAGGAGGUGAACAGGAAGGUCAUCACCAUGUAGGCACAUUUCAAAAAGUUCCAUCCAUUCUUCCUCUUGGGAAGCAGUUUCUUGGGUGGGCUGGUGGCCAGGGCAGGCUUAACUGCAGAGGACAAGGGUGGUGACUCAGGCAGGCGGCCUUCACUUCUCCCCAAGAAGUUCCUGCCGUUUCUGAAUCUCCAUUCUGAGCUCCAAACCCACAUCUGCACCUGCCCCCUGGGCUGAAAUCUUGAUCCACAUCCAUGGUUGUUGGGGCUUCCUCAUUUGGUUUCCACCCUGUAUCCUGGACAAACAGUUGGGAAUCUUUCCUGCUCUCCCACACCUGCCUAGAUUUCUCACCAGACCCCCUGUCCCCUCGAUCCCCAGCUGGUGGCUCUCCUGAUGACUGCAUCUGCCUCCUGUGUCAGGCUUCCUCUUUCUCCACCCAUCUUCCACAUGGCUGCUAGAAGGAUCUUUCUAGUACCCAAAUCAGACCGCUUCACUUUGUUAUUUUCAAUCCUCAUGUGAUGUACAAAGGUUGUUUUUACUUACUCAACAUUUUUUCCCUUGUCUUUUUGUUUUAAAAGUAUUACAUUCCAGAAAAUUCAAAAUUUUACAGGUAAACAUACCUACUAAACAGGUCCCAAAUCCAAAAAUGAAACAUUAUCAGUGUAAAGGUAAAUACAAGUGGAAAAACAAAUUUCUCCCUGCCGAAAAUUCAGGAAGAGACGACUCCUUGUCCUUUGUUCUCAGAGGAUUUAUUUUAGAAAAUGUGUUAUUGUUAAGUCUCUGUUUCUUUGAAGUGUAUGAGAAUCUUUUUAAAAAGCUAAAUAAGCCUCUCGCUGAUUUUAUGACCUGGGAUGUUUUUUCUCAAGGACCUUGUAGCCAUCUCUUGGAAAUGCAAACAUCGAGGAAGACAGAGCCCUUUUCCCUCUCAUACCUCAGGAUGUUGGGUUUCCUUGGUAGCCAUGAGCAGUAUGGAAGGGGCAGGUGGCUUGAAGACUUUGGAUGCCCUCAGGAAGACAGGCUCCCCCACACUGAAGUCCCCAGCCUUGACUCCCUGAAAUCUUCUCUCCACAAGGCUUUGUUAUGACCCAGGCAGAAGGCACUCACUGUCCUGUAGACAGGGAAAGGCACGACCCCAUGCACUGACCUUCUUCCUUGCAGCCAUUUGUUUGUUCUAAAAAGGAAGAAGAGGAGAAAGUAGAGGAGAAGCAGAAAGAGGGGGAGGGAGGAGGAAUGAAAGAAAGAAAGAAAAGAAAGCAUCAGUGAGUUUUGAAAUGGAUGGAGACCAAGCUGUAAACAGUGCUGCUUCUGGGUGCUUCAGAGGGGGAGAGAAGGGAGCACAGUCGGCCUCCUUGGCAUCCCUCUGUCCAGGCACUCUGCUGCCCACGGCCCUUGGACACGCUGUUACUUUGCCUGGAAUGCACUUCCUCCAGGUGUACACACAUCCCUUCCCUCACCUCCUUCAAGUCUUUGCUCAAAUAUGACCUUUCUUGAUCACCCUUUAAAAACUCACCCACCUCACACAGUCUCCCUCACUCUAUUGUCUUCAUAGGACAGAACAACAUCCAGCAGAGUUGGAACCUACUUCCCCAGUGAUUUCUUUCCUUUCACCUCUCAUUGGAAUACAAGUUCCACUUGGACACAGAUUUAUGUCUGUGUUACUCCCUACUGUAUCUCCAUCACCAAGAGUAAGACUUAGCACAGAGUAGCUACAUUAAUUCAUAUUUGUUGGAUGGAUAAAGACGUGUUAAACAUUUGUGAUGGCGAUAAAAGAGUAUGAGGUUUGAUGGUAUCUAAAGGCUCUUCUCACAUUAAAAAAAGCUAAUAACUAUAUUUCCAUGCACAUGAGUUAAUGCAGACUCACCGUUCAACACCUGCAGGCUCAGCAAACCUGAGGAAGACAAGGACAUGCAGAUCGAAUCACCAAAGACA